RNAcentral lists this ribosomal RNA (927 nucleotides) under uncultured Sphingobacteriales bacterium. Its description in RNAcentral is "bacterial SSU rRNA". It matches the Rfam family "Bacterial small subunit ribosomal RNA", at positions 56 to 974 of the family's 1533-position model. The record is from RNAcentral. Lineage: Bacteria; Pseudomonadati; Bacteroidota; Sphingobacteriia; Sphingobacteriales.
UGCAAGUCGAGGGGGAUUAGCUGGGUAGCAAUACUCGGUUAUGAGACCGGCAAACGGGUGCGGAACACGUACGCAACCUUCCCAAAACUGGUGAAUAGCCCUCCGAAAGGAGGAUUAAUACACCGUAACUUAAUGAUGUGGCAUCACUUUAUUAAUAUAGCUCCGGCGGUUUUGGAUGGGCGUGCGCCUGAUUAGGUAGUUGGCGGGGUAACGGCCCACCAAGCCUGCGAUCAGUAACUGGUGUGAGGGCACGACCAGUCACACGGGCACUGAGACACGGGCCCGACUCCUACGGGAGGCAGCAGUAAGGAAUAUUGGUCAAUGGACGCAAGUCUGAACCAGCCAUGCCGCGUGAAGGAUGACGGCCCUCUGGGUUGUAAACUUCUUUUAUCUGGGACGAAAAAAGAUCAUUCUUGAUCACUUGACGGUACCAGAGGAAUAAGCACCGGCUAACUCCGUGCCAGCAGCCGCGGUAAUACGGAGGGUGCAAGCGUUAUCCGGGUUUACUGGGUUUAAAGGGUGCGUAGGUGGGUCUGUAAGUCAGUGGUGAAAUCUCCGAGCUUAACUCGGAAACUGCCAUUGAUACUAUAGGUCUUGAAUUGUCUGGAGGUAAGCGGAAUAUGUCAUGUAGCGGUGAAAUGCUUAGAUAUGACAUAGAACACCAAUUGCGAAGGCAGCUUACUACGGAUUGAUUGACACUGAGGCACGAAAGCGUGGGGAUCAAACAGGAUUAGAUACCCUGGUAGUCCACGCCGUAAACGAUGAUAACUAGCUGUCCGGGCACUUGGUGCCUGGGUGGCGCAGCUAACGCAUUAAGUUAUCCGCCUGGGGAGUACGGUCGCAAGAUUAAAACUCAAAGGAAUUGACGGGGGCCUGCACAAGCGGUGGAGCAUGUGGUUUAAUUCGAAGCAACGCGCAGAACCUUAC